ACAAAAAAAUGAAAAAAAAA
RNAcentral lists this small RNA (20 nucleotides) under Arabidopsis thaliana (thale cress). RNAcentral's name for it is "ATSL140910". The record is from RNAcentral. Lineage: Eukaryota; Viridiplantae; Streptophyta; Magnoliopsida; Brassicales; Brassicaceae.